UACAGAGGGGGCAAGCGUUGUUCGGAAUUACUGGGCGUAAAGGGCGCGUAGGCGGCCGCCUAAGUCAGACGUGAAAUCCCUCGGCUCAACCGGGGAACUGCGUCUGAUACUGGGUGGCUUGAAUCCGGGAGAGGGAUGCAGAAUUCCAGGUGUAGCGGUGAAAUGCGUAGAUAUCGUAAGGAAGACCAGUGGCGAAGGCGGGUCUCUGGACAGUUCCUGACGCUGAGGCACGAAGGCCAGGGGAGCAAACGGG
Molecule: ribosomal RNA, 253 nt
Filed under: uncultured bacterium
Lineage: Bacteria
Description: partial 16S ribosomal RNA
Rfam family: Bacterial small subunit ribosomal RNA
Source: RNAcentral